RNAcentral lists this small nuclear RNA (335 nucleotides) under Nannospalax galili (Upper Galilee mountains blind mole rat). RNAcentral describes it as "7SK RNA (ENSNGAG00000004544.1)". It matches the Rfam family "7SK RNA". From Rfam's summary of the family: 7SK was discovered as an abundant small nuclear RNA in the mid-70s but a possible function has only recently been suggested. Two independent studies have found that 7SK RNA binds the CDK9/cyclin T complex (known as elongation factor P-TEFb). Lineage: Eukaryota; Metazoa; Chordata; Mammalia; Rodentia; Spalacidae. The record is from RNAcentral.
GGGUGAUCUUCCUGCAACAUCUGUCUACCCACUGGUUGCUGGGGUUGACUUGGCUGGUCUGUCUGGUUAGGCAGGUGUUCCCUUCCAAGUAUUCCCUGCCUCAUCCGUCCAUAUGUCCAUAUUCUUCCCUCCUGAAGCUCUGCACUAGCUCUAAAAGGAUGAAAAAGACCCAACAGGAAAGGACCAUCCUUCAGUCAAGGGUAUAUAAGCAGCUGUUCUACUCUGCUAGAACCUCCAAACAAGUUCUCAAGAACAAUACAUAAUCUUGAGAAUAUAAUUUAUCCAUGUGUAAUAAACACAAGCAUGUCCCAGGCCUGGGCUACAUGAGACAGUGU